AGGACCGAUAGCGAACAAGUAGAGUGAUCGAAAGGUUAAAAGCACCUUGAAAAGGGAGUUAAACAGCACGUGAAAUUGUUGAAAGGGAAGCGCUUGCGGCCAGACUCGGGGGGCGGGGUUCAGCGGGCGCUCGUCGCCCGUGCACUGCCCGCUCCCCGGGCCAGCAUCAGCUUCGACGGCCGGUCAAAGGCCCCCGGAAUGUGUCGUCUCUAGGGACGUCUUAUAGCCGGGGGUGCAAUGCGGCCCGUCGAGACUGAGGAACGCGCUCCGGCUCGGAUGCUGGCGUAAUGGCCGUAAGCGGCCCGUCUUGAAACACGGACCAAG
RNAcentral lists this ribosomal RNA (324 nucleotides) under Trichophyton rubrum. RNAcentral describes it as "eukaryotic LSU rRNA". It matches the Rfam family "Eukaryotic large subunit ribosomal RNA", at positions 330 to 670 of the family's 3401-position model. Lineage: Eukaryota; Fungi; Ascomycota; Eurotiomycetes; Onygenales; Arthrodermataceae. The record is from RNAcentral.